CUACACAUGCAAGUCGAACGGUAACAGGAAGCAGCUUGCUGCUUCGCUGACGAGUGGCGGACGGGUGAGUAAUGUCUGGGAAACUGCCUGAUGGAGGGGGAUAACUACUGGAAACGGUAGCUAAUACCGCAUAACGUCGCAAGACCAAAGAGGGGGACCUUCGGGCCUCUUGCCAUCGGAUGUGCCCAGAUGGGAUUAGCUAGUAGGUGGGGUAACGGCUCACCUAGGCGACGAUCCCUAGCUGGUCUGAGAGGAUGACCAGCCACACUGGAACUGAGACACGGUCCAGACUCCUACGGGAGGCAGCAGUGGGGAAUAUUGCACAAUGGGCGCAAGCCUGAUGCAGCCAUGCCGCGUGUAUGAAGAAGGCCUUCGGGUUGUAAAGUACUUUCAGCGGGGAGGAAGGCGAUAAGGUUAAUAACCUUGUCGAUUGACGUUACCCGCAGAAGAAGCACCGGCUAACUCCGUGCCAGCAGCCGCGGUAAUACGGAGGGUGCAAGCGUUAAUCGGAAUUACUGGGCGUAAAGCGCACGCAGGCGGUCUGUCAAGUCGGAUGUGAAAUCCCCGGGCUCACCUGGGGAACUGCAUUCGAA
RNAcentral lists this ribosomal RNA (593 nucleotides) under uncultured bacterium. RNAcentral's name for it is "bacterial SSU rRNA". It matches the Rfam family "Bacterial small subunit ribosomal RNA", at positions 49 to 631 of the family's 1533-position model. The record is from RNAcentral.